This 1383-nucleotide unclassified non-coding RNA is filed under the name uncultured fungus. RNAcentral describes it as "sequence contains 18S rRNA gene, ITS1, 5.8S rRNA gene, ITS2, 28S rRNA gene". The stretch from base 517 to 1383 matches the Rfam family "Eukaryotic large subunit ribosomal RNA", at positions 1 to 961 of the family's 3401-position model. The record is from RNAcentral. Lineage: Eukaryota; Fungi.
GGAAGGAUCAUUACCACACCUCUUUGAAAAAAGAAAGAAGGGUCUCUAUCGCUUGCGAUGAGAUCUGACUUUGACCCGCGAACCUUAAAAAACUUUAGGGGAGGUGCUUCGGCAUCUCUUUCUUUAAAUCCACGAAAGUGUGAUUUGUAGUUGUUAUUAAAAAUCUGAAAGACUCGUCUCCGGACAGUCAGAAGAAUGUAAAAACACUUUCAGCAAUGGAUGUCUUGGUUCCCACAACGAUGAAGAACGCCGCGAAAUGCGAUACGUAAUGCGAAUCGCAGAAUCCAGUGAGUCAUCAAAACUUUGAACGCAACUUGCACUUCCUUUGGGAGUAUGUCUGUUGGAGUGUCUGUUCAUCCUACCAAAGCAAUGCUUUGAGGACUGCCUGAGCGAGAGCUCUGAGCAUAGAUGAUAAUAAGAUGAGUUGUCCGUUUCUACGCAAGUCGAACGUUCACUUCACAGUAUCAAUUGAUAAAUGUGAGAGAACAUUAGAUGUAGAAUGAGUCAAUUUUGUUCGGACCUCCAAUCAGUCAAGAUUACCCGCUGAAUUUAAGCAUAUAACUAGGCGGAGGAAAAGAAACUAACAAGGAUUCCCUCAGUAACGGCGAGUGAAGCGGGAAGAGCUCAGACUGAAAAUCUUCGGAAUUGUAGUCUGGAGAAGUUAGAUCAGCUCGGUUGAUGCAUGAAGUCUCUUGGAACAGAGCGCCAUUGAGGGUGAAAGCCCCGUAAACGUAUUAAACUGGGCGUACGAUCAACUUUCAACGAGUCGAGUUGUUUGGGAUUGCAGCUCUAAGUGGGUGGUAAAUUCCAUCUAAAGCUAAAUAUUGGUGGGAGACCGAUAGCGAACAAGUACCGUGAGGGAAAGAUGAAAAGAACUUUGAAAAGAGAGUUAAAGAGUACCUGAAAUUGCUGAAAUGGAACCGAUGAGAAGCAGUGUACUCAUGUCCAUUAAUGGAUGUGGGAGAGUUCGGCUUUCUUGCGUUUGGGAGAAAAACAUAUGAAUUUGUAUGAGUCAUGCUGUUAUCCUGAGUUCGAGAGACUUGAACGAAAUGCUUCUUAUCAUCCCGUCUUGAAACACGGACCAAGGAGUCUAACAUGUGUGCGAGUGUUUGGGAAAUACUCCCUAGCGCGUAAUUAACGUAAAUGCGGAUUUAUUCGCUGAGGUAGGAAAUUUGCACUAUCGACCGACCAUGAUUCUACGGAAGAAAGGUUUGAGUGUGAGCAUACAUGUUGGGACCCGAAAGAUGGUGAACUAUGCUUGAGUAGGACGAAGCCAGGGGAAACUCUGGUGGAGGUCCGUAGCGAUUCUAACGUGCAAAUUGAUCGUCGAACUUGGGUAUAGGGGCGAAAGACUAAUCGAACCAUCUAGUAGCUGGUUCCUCC